Non-coding RNA from Oryctolagus cuniculus (rabbit), 1140 nucleotides. NCBI's taxonomy places the organism in Eukaryota, Metazoa, Chordata, Mammalia, Lagomorpha, Leporidae. The record is from RefSeq and is a predicted model, not a curated record.
CUCAGCCCGGGGCUGACUUCCAGCACUUCGGCACAGUUUCCCGGAGCCUUCGCUAAAUUUAAAUGAAAGGAGUCGUCUGGUGCCUCACCGGCUCUAAUCUCCCUUCUGAGUCUACUCUCUUCACUCACCAACCGACUGGGAUGACUGCCAGCAGCUUCUGCAGACCUUCUCACCUCGGAGGAGAGAUCGCAUCCAGCGAGAGGCCCAAAACCCGUCUCGGCCCCGACGGAGAGCCUUCCUCUGAGCCCAUCAGACAGGAGAGAGUAUUUCCCCUUAGCCGCCCUGAUUGGGACCCAAAUGAUGGAGGUAAAGAGGCUCCCAACCAGUAUCGCCAGAUUCUUAUAAGGGGGUAUGCGCGGCAGCCAGAAGCAACUAAUUUAUCUAAGGUAUCUACUGAGCCCAGAGACAACGGUAAGACAACAGACCCAUCAGUCUCUGCCGCAGCAACACUGUGCGGCAUAGUCUCAGAGAGAUGGUACAAUGGUGUUAACCGACUCCUCCAGAGGCUGCAGUAUGUGAAACCUUGAGGCCCCACCUUACUAGGCCUCCAGUUUCAGGGGAUGAACUGUAAGGAGCAGAAAUUAAACCACUUCACCACAACAUUAACAAGAAAUACCCAAGAGCUAAGCUGACUGCAGAUCUGCAUAGACCUGAUAAGAACCACCCAUGGCCCACACCCAGCCUCCUGGGGACCUCCUUGGUCCUACACUGACCCCCAAAAGUCUGCAGACUGAAGAGGCCCAGAGAGACUCUGAACAGACGCUCCUGAGAGCGGCAGGCGAAAGCCCCGGGUUGACCCACCACACUCAGACCUUCCCGCAAAAGAGUUCUCUCAGCCAGGCCUGCUUGCCCAAUGCCGAGGCGCUGAGCUAGCCCGACGCCGAGGCUCUGAGCUAGCCCGACGCCGAGGCGCUGAGCUAGCCUGAUGUUGAAGCCCUGCUCGUCUGAAGCAGAGACCUGUGUUCUGCUCAGAGGCACCACCCUUGCGGAUGCUUUCAGAAGCCGCCCUCUGUGGCUGAGACACUCGUGGGGUGCACCAGAGGUACUCUGGGAACCCUGGGAGGUCGGUUUGCUCAGUGUGUUAUGUAAAUCAGAAUGUGUGACUUCCCCACUGCAUAAUAAAAUCCUUAUUGGAACCAA